RNAcentral lists this ribosomal RNA (429 nucleotides) under Actinomycetes bacterium. Its description in RNAcentral is "Actinobacteria bacterium partial 16S ribosomal RNA". It matches the Rfam family "Bacterial small subunit ribosomal RNA", at positions 355 to 776 of the family's 1533-position model. The record is from RNAcentral. Lineage: Bacteria; Bacillati; Actinomycetota; Actinomycetes.
UAGGGAAUCUUCCGCAAUGGGCGAAAGCCUGACGGAGCAACGCCGCGUGAGUGAUGAAGGUCUUCGGAUCGUAAAACUCUGUUAUUAGGGAAGAACAAAUGUGUAAGUAACUAUGCACGUCUUGACGGUACCUAAUCAGAAAGCCACGGCUAACUACGUGCCAGCAGCCGCGGUAAUACGUAGGUGGCAAGCGUUAUCCGGAAUUAUUGGGCGUAAAGCGCGCGUAGGCGGUUUUUUAAGUCUGAUGUGAAAGCCCACGGCUCAACCGUGGAGGGUCAUUGGAAACUGGAAAACUUGAGUGCAGAAGAGGAAAGUGGAAUUCCAUGUGUAGCGGUGAAAUGCGCAGAGAUAUGGAGGAACACCAGUGGCGAAGGCGACUUUCUGGUCUGUAACUGACGCAGAUGUGCGAAAGCGGGGGGAUCAAACAGG